Molecule: ribosomal RNA, 468 nt
Filed under: uncultured bacterium
Lineage: Bacteria
Description: partial 16S ribosomal RNA
Rfam family: Bacterial small subunit ribosomal RNA
Source: RNAcentral
GACGAACGCUGGCGGCGUGCUUAACACAUGCAAGUCGAACGGAAGGGCCCUGCUUUUGUGGGGUGCUCGAGUGGCGAACGGGUGAGUAACACGUGAGUAACCUGCCCUUGACUUUGGGAUAACUUCAGGAAACUGGGGCUAAUACCGGAUAGGAGCUCCUGCUGCAUGGUGGGGGUUGGAAAGUUUCGGCGGUUGGGGAUGGACUCGCGGCUUAUCAGCUUGUUGGUGGGGUAGUGGCUUACCAAGGCUUUGACGGGUAGCCGGCCUGAGAGGGUGACCGGCGAAAUUGGGACUGAGAUACGGCCCAGACUGCUACGGGAGGCAGCAGUGGGGAAUAGUGCACAAUGGGCGGAAGCCUGAUGCAGCAACGCCGCGUGCGGGAUGACGGCCUGCGGGUUGUAAACCGCUUUCGCCUGUGACGAAGCGUGAGUGACGGUAAUGGGUAAAGAAGCACCGGCUAACUACGUG